Rhineura floridana is the source of this 650-nucleotide long non-coding RNA. RefSeq lists it as uncharacterized. NCBI's taxonomy places the organism in Eukaryota, Metazoa, Chordata, Lepidosauria, Squamata, Rhineuridae. The record is from RefSeq and is a predicted model, not a curated record. The transcript has 6 exons.
AAGCUGAUUGCAUGGGAUGAAAAAGGGAUGGAACAUGGUGGAGAACUGCAGCCACACACAAGAAAAGAAGCUGCUUGGUCUAUGCUCUCUGCCAUGUAGAAGAGGACAUGGAGAAGCAAAGAGGAUGAGGUCGAUGGCUCUGGAGCUGCAGUCUGGCACAAUCCUAUACUUAGCGACUUGGGUCCGUAUUCCAUGCCAAGAUGAGAACAUGUAGAAGACCCUGGUUGGAGAAGACCUGUGCAGUUACUUGUUCUUGGAAUCUCCAUAGUUUCCCUUUUCCCCUAGCAACCAUGAUGCAUCUUUCCUGUGAUGAGUUCAUCUGAGAUCAGGUCCAAGUUCCAUGCCAUAUGGGAGAAGGCAAGUAGAAGCUGCAGUCCUGAUCACUCCGGAUCACCAGGCUGCAAACAGUUGUGCACCUGGCGACAUGUAUUUUGAUUCCAAGUCACAAAGUGCAGAACAGUCUUACAUAAGAAGUAAAUGAGGUUCACUUUCAAGGCCCAUAGAAAGGACAUUGGCAAUGAGAACCAUCAUGACUCAACAAUAGGCCCAUUGAUGAGUAAUACUCCGCUCAACCCUGUGUUUGGGCUGUAACAUUUCCAGGUAGAAGUCCAAAUGACUGAAUUGUGCUCUUUGGGGGGACUGUACUCACU